This 292-nucleotide ribosomal RNA is filed under the name uncultured bacterium. Its description in RNAcentral is "partial 16S ribosomal RNA". It matches the Rfam family "Bacterial small subunit ribosomal RNA", at positions 777 to 1068 of the family's 1533-position model. The record is from RNAcentral.
AUUAGAUACCCUGGUAGUCCACGCAGUAAACGAUGAGCACUAAUUGUCCGGAGCGAGUGAGCUCUGGGUGAUACAGCGAAAGCGUUAAGUGCUCCACCUGCGGAGUACGCCGGCAACGGUGAAACUCAAAGGAAUUGACGGGGGCCCGCACAAGCCGAGGAACAUGUGGUUUAAUUCGAUGAUACGCGAGGAACCUUACCCGGGCUCAAACGACGGACGAAUGUUUUUGAAAGGAGGCAGCCCUUCGGGGCGUCCGUCGAGGUGCUGCAUGGUUGUCGUCAGCUCGUGCCGU